CACCCAAUCGUGGCAUUGCGACAUGGGAGCAAAGGCUGGAAUUGGAACAGGGGCCAGCCGCGCGUGCGAUGGGGUAGCUUAAGGAUCGGUAGUCGGGGGACUACCGAUCCUUAUUUU
Non-coding RNA from Xanthomonas fragariae, 117 nucleotides. NCBI's taxonomy places the organism in Bacteria, Pseudomonadati, Pseudomonadota, Gammaproteobacteria, Lysobacterales, Lysobacteraceae. The record is from Rfam.